This 253-nucleotide ribosomal RNA is filed under the name uncultured bacterium. RNAcentral's name for it is "partial 16S ribosomal RNA". It matches the Rfam family "Bacterial small subunit ribosomal RNA", at positions 524 to 776 of the family's 1533-position model. The record is from RNAcentral.
UACGGAGGGAGCUAGCGUUGUUCGGAAUUACUGGGCGUAAAGCGCACGUAGGCGGCUUUGUAAGUUAGAGGUGAAAGCCCGGGGCUCAACCCCGGAAUUGCCUUUAAGACUGCAUCGCUUGAAUCCAGGAGAGGUGAGUGGAAUUCCGAGUGUAGAGGUGAAAUUCGUAGAUAUUCGGAAGAACACCAGUGGCGAAGGCGGCUCACUGGACUGGUAUUGACGCUGAGGUGCGAAAGCGUGGGGAGCAAACAGG